GAUGAACGCUGGCGGCGUGCUUAACACAUGCAAGUCGAACGGAAAGGCCCUGCUUUUUUGGUGUGCUCGAGUGGCGAACGGGUGAGUAACACGUGAGUAACCUGCCCUGGACUUUGGGAUAACUUCAGGAAACUAGUGCUAAAACCGCAUAGGAGCUCCUGCUGCAUGGGGGGGAUUGUAAAAUUUCGGCGGUUGGCGGGGGUGUCGGGGGUUAUCAGCUUGUUGGUGGGGUAGUGGCUUAACAAGGGUUUGACUGGUAGGCGGCCUGAGAGGGUGACCGGCCACAUUGGGACUGAGAUCACGCCCCGACUCCUACGGGAUGCAGCAGUGGGAAAUCAUGCACAAUGGGCCGAAGCCUGAUGCAGCCACGCCGCGUGCGGGAUAGCGGCCUUCGGGUUGUAAAACGCUUUCGACUGUGACGAAGCGUGAGUGACGGUAAUGUGUAAAGAAGCACCGGCUAACUACGUG
Molecule: ribosomal RNA, 468 nt
Filed under: uncultured bacterium
Lineage: Bacteria
Description: partial 16S ribosomal RNA
Rfam family: Bacterial small subunit ribosomal RNA
Source: RNAcentral